Populus euphratica (Euphrates poplar) is the source of this 3143-nucleotide long non-coding RNA. RefSeq lists it as uncharacterized. The transcript is spliced from 2 exons. NCBI's taxonomy places the organism in Eukaryota, Viridiplantae, Streptophyta, Magnoliopsida, Malpighiales, Salicaceae. The record is from RefSeq and is a predicted model, not a curated record.
CCGCUUCACAACCAUGGUGGAUAACGGCAGCUCCAUAAGAGCAAGCUAAACAACUUGAGUCUCGUUUCUCUCGCGUUGAAGCUUCUAGCUAGGUCAAAUCAACGAGGGGCUCAAGAAGACCAAACUUGCUGAGCUGAAACAGAAGCUUGAUUUGUUGCUGCGCUAAAAAGGGUUAAAUGUGGUGGAAACAGUACAGAUUGGCCUGAAAUUCAAUCCUUCUGGCCCUGUCAAUUUGGGUUCACCGCUACAAGAACCUGGGUUAGAAAAUGUCGCAAAUGCUUACAGAUUUACCGAAUUCCAGAGGAACAGGAGUAAGCUGCCAUGCUUUUGGAGGGGAAGGAAAACAUUUGGUUUCAGGGCUUUAACCACACCAUCCACCCAUCGAGGCUUUCCAUCCUUUUGCCACCACCUCCCAAUCGAAACUCUCCACCCUAUUCCCCUAACACAACAACCCAAACCGGUACCCAUAAUCAUAGCACUUGCAACAAACCACCAUUUCCUCAUUUUCCACUCAGAAACCCUAAUGUUUCAAGUGUGGGUAUCCAUGUUUUCCUGAUCAUCAAUGCAAAGGGAAGGAUUUAAAUAGUCUUGAGUCUUUGGAAGACAUGGUAGAGGAGUUUGAUGAUGGAGAGUUAACGGAUGGGUUGAUUGAGAUUGACGAGUAGCUCGUAGAGGAGUAUGGGUUGUCAGUGAAUGCAAUUCCUGGCAGCAUCACUUGCAACACUAUUCUAAUUGAAGGGGAAACUAAUAAACUACCAUUAGCCAUCCUCAUUGACAGUGGAAGCGCGCACAGUUUUGUAGAUGUCAAUAGAAUUCCAAUUCUCGUUGUUGGGGGAAGUGAAUAAAAAAAUGACAAACCACUACCGCUGUUCCUCUCAGUGUAAUAGUAGCUGAAGGUAGUGUGAUUCAGUGUAGAGCCAAAUGUCGAAAUUCUGAAUGACAAGCGCAAUGACAUGUUUUUUUUUUAACUAAUCCGCUAGUUCUGCGGUCGGGGGGCAAUGACAUGGUGCUUGGGGCUGAUUUGAUGAAGGCAUGCAGCCCAAUUUUGUCUGAUUUCUUGAAGAUGAGCUUGACCUUCUAGAAGGACGGCCAAGAAAUAGUUCUUAAGGGAAUUAUUGGUAAUCAGGGGUUGAAUUAAAAAUGAUUAUCGCAGAGUAAGUACAAAAGGCUCUGUACCAGGAUGUCUAUGGACUGGUGGCUCAAUUGUUUGCUAUCCAUGGGCAAGAACAAAAGCUUGAGGAGAUUCAGCCUGUGGUGCAUGAUUUGUCACUGGAAUUCGAUGCAAUCUUCGCUCAACCUACUCAGCUACCACCAAGCAGGGAGUGUGAUCACUGGUUUCCACUGGAAGAAGGCACUAAACCAGUCAAUCCUUGACCAUAUAGACAUUCCCAUGGCCAAAAGGAUGUGAUGGAGAAACUGGUUAAGAAAAUGCUAGAUUCCUCCAUAAUUCAAGUGAGUCACAGCCCUUUCUCUUCACCAGUACUACUGGUACAGAAGAAAGACAACACUCCGAGAUUCUGUGAGUUAUACAGUGAUGAACGGUUUUCCAAGAUCGAUUUGUGAGCUGGAUAUCAAAAGCACACAGCACGCUCGUGAUGAACGGUUUUCCAAGAUCGAUUUGUGAGCUGGAUAUCAAAAGCACACGGCACGCUCAAUUUCUGAGAAAGAGUUCUUGGCUAUAUUGCUAGCAGUUCAGAAAUGGAGGUACUACCUGGAGAGUAAGAAAUUUAUUUUCAAGAGAGCUUGAAAUACAUGUUAGAGCAGCGCAUCAACACUUCUAUCCAAAAGAAAGGGCUCAAGAAAUUGUAGGGGAUCCAAUAUGAGAUUCACAGCACCUAUAAGAGAGUGAAGAAUUCUUUUUUGUUGGCCUAAAUUGAAAGAUAGUGUAAAGAGAGUGGUGGAAGAAUGUGAUCCACGUGCCAGAAACGAAAGUGAGAUUGUAGCAUACCCCGGGUUGCUGCAAUCUCUACCCACUCCUCCUCGUUCUUGGAGUGACAUCACUACGGACUUCAUUGAAGGAGGUCGUUGACAGGUUCAUAUAAUAUACCCAUUUUCUUACUCUGAGUCAUCCUUUUACAGCUUUGAAUAUGGCCAAAUUUUUUUCAAGCAUGUUUAUAAAUUGGAAGGUGUUCCAGCUCGCAAGUGACUGACAGCGACAGGUUACUCGUUACCUUGUUUUGGAGAGAAUUUUUGAGACUAAUGGGCGCUGAGUCGCGUUCUAGUUCAACACAUCACCCAAUCAGAUGGGCAGACAAAAAAGUAGAAUAGAAGUCUGCAUACUUUUUUGAGGUGCAUGACUUUCCAGGGGCAUAAGCAGUGGCGCAAAUGGAUUUCUUUGGCUGAAUUUCGGUACAAUACCAGUUUUCAUUCAGAAAUUGAGAUGACUCCUUACCAAGCUCUGUAUGGGAUACCCCAACCAGUGGCCAGUAUUGCUGAAUUGUUGCAAGAGAAAACUCAGGUGGUGGCAUUGCUCAAGGAAAAUUUGUAGAAGACUCGAAAUUGGAUGAAACAAGAAGCUAACAAGGGCAAAACUGAGCGCAAUUUUUGUGGGGGUGGCCACGUUUACCUCAAGCUGUAACCUUAGAGACAGAUUUCAGUAUCCAUGCAGAAAGAACCUCUUUAGGGUCUUAAAUCCAUUCAGCCUUCCAUGUUUCAUUAAUCAAAGAGGAAACUAGGAGCCAAGGUGGUUCCAGACAGUGAGUUAAAAGCUACUAAUGAUCAGGGUGAGAACGUUGUCGUAUCUAGGAGGUUGAUUAAACGAAGUUGUCGUUCAAAGGUUAAUUCAGUGGUUUAAACUGUUACCAGAAGAGGCCGCCCCUAGAAGAUCUCUCUCUAAUUGAAAGUCAGGUUCCAGAUUUUCAGGACUGAUUAUGCUUGUGGACAAUGUUGCCCUUCUUGUUAUUUUAACUCUGCAAUGUCGUUUAUAUCUUUAGCUGUUGUCGUUUGUUAUUAUUAUUAUUAUUGUUUUUGUUUUUUGUGCGCUCAUUACGGUGUCGUGGAGAAUAUCUUCCGGUAACGGGCGGAGGUUUAUUAGUCGCACGUGUCGUAAACUUAUGGUUUAUUUAUAGUCAAUAUGUUAUUGUUGUAAGUGCACUCACGAGAAGAGAAGGUCAAUAAGGAGAAAUAAUAAUCUGUUACUUUCU